GGACGGGACAUGCUUUGUAGCAAUACAAAGUAUGUUCAGUGGCGUAAGGGUGCGUAACACGUGGGCAAUCUGCCGAGAAGUGGGGGAUAGCUCGCCGAAAGGCGAAUUAAUACCGCAUGUGACUAGAGAAGACAUCUUCUCGACGUCAAAGUCGGGAAUAGCAAUAUUCCUGACGCUUCUUGAUGAGCCCGCGGCCUAUCAGCUAGUUGGUGAGGUAACGGCUCACCAAGGCGAUGACGGGUAGCUGGUCUGAGAGGACGACCAGCCACACUGGAACUGAGACACGGUCCAGACACCUACGGGUGGCAGCAGUCGAGAAUUUUUCUCAAUGGGGGAAACCCUGAAGGAGCGACGCCGCGUGGAGGAUGAAGGUCUUCGGAUUGUAAACUCCUGUCAUUAGGGAACAAUUGUCGCCGAUUAACUGUCGGCGGCUUGAUAGUACCUGAAGAGGAAGAGACGGCUAACUCUGUGCCAGCAGCCGCGGUAAUACAGAGGUCUCAAGCGUUGUUCGGAUUCAUUGGGCGUAAAGGGUGCGUAGGUGGUGGGGUAAGUCGGAUGUGAAAUCCCGGGGCUCAACCCCGGAACUGCAUUCGAUACUGCCUUGCUCGAGUACUGGAGAGGAGACUGGAAUUUACGGUGUAGCAGUGAAAAUGCGUAGAUAUCGUAAGGAAGACCAGUGGCGAAGGCGAGUCUCUGGACAGUUACUGACACUGAGGCACGAAGGCCAGGGGAGCAAACGGGAUUAGAUACCCGGGUAGUCCUGGCAGUAAACGGUGCGCGUUUGGUGUGGGAGGAUUCGACCCCUUCGUGGCCGGACUAAGGC
RNAcentral lists this ribosomal RNA (823 nucleotides) under uncultured Verrucomicrobiota bacterium. RNAcentral's name for it is "bacterial SSU rRNA". It matches the Rfam family "Bacterial small subunit ribosomal RNA", at positions 64 to 858 of the family's 1533-position model. The record is from RNAcentral. Lineage: Bacteria; Pseudomonadati; Verrucomicrobiota.